Long non-coding RNA from Lingula anatina, 302 nucleotides. NCBI's taxonomy places the organism in Eukaryota, Metazoa, Brachiopoda, Lingulata, Lingulida, Lingulidae. The record is from RefSeq and is a predicted model, not a curated record.
UUUUUACGCAAUAAUCAAUUACUAUGGAAAUAAUGUCAAAGAUAAAGUAAGUACGUAUACAGACGUGUAUUCCUGGUUCCAAGUGGGUUCUCUGUUCUGGGCCUUGCUGACUGGUUUGAUGUUGGAUAAACUUGUUUCCAGGGCAACCACAUACGAAAAAGAGCGAUGCUUCGUGGUUCCAUUUUUCCUCACAGUUUUGGCAGGAUUCAUCGCCUCCAUUGCGUGCAUCAUCCCCAUUAUCGAGUUGCAGUUUGUGGCCAUUUUGUUUCAUUCUAUGUUGAAAACCGGGAGUUACGCCACAA